AUGUGCAGCAGAAAGAAAGUAAUCUUACUAAUGUGGUGCUGGUGGUCUAUGAGAAAUAAGAUGAAUGCAGGGGAGAGAAAAAAGAGUGCCCAGGAAGUGGUUAAUGAUGUCAUGUUCCACAUGCAGGCCUGGAACUCUGCUGUCCAAGGUAACACUUGUAAAGUUCAGAAGGACAGCAAACCAAAAUGGAGAGCUCCUCCGGAGGAUUUUUAUACUAAAAUAAAUUGUUAUGGGGCAUUCUUCUCUGAUCUUAAUAGAGGUGGUUGGGGCUUUGUUAUACGUGAUUCUGAUGGGCAAGCUGUGGCCGCAGGUGCAGGUCUGGAAGAGCAUUUGAUAAAUGCACAACACUCUGAAACUGUGGCUUGUUUGAAGGGCAUUGAGUAUGCUGCAGCUAUGGGCAUUCAACGUAUCAUUUUGGAGACUGAUGCAUUGUUAGUGGCUAAUGCAAGCACUAUGUUUAGAGAAAUCAGAGUGAGAAUGCUAUCUGAUUUUGUUGAGUGUUGUGUUUCUCACUGCCCUCGGGCUUGUAAUUCAGUUGCUCAUACAGUAGCUGCGUAA
Molecule: ribosomal RNA, 558 nt
Filed under: Triticum aestivum (bread wheat)
Lineage: Eukaryota; Viridiplantae; Streptophyta; Magnoliopsida; Poales; Poaceae
Description: partial small subunit ribosomal RNA
Source: RNAcentral